This 478-nucleotide RNase MRP RNA is filed under the name Pseudogymnoascus sp. VKM F-4281 (FW-2241). Its description in RNAcentral is "RNase MRP". It matches the Rfam family "RNase MRP". From Rfam's summary of the family: RNase MRP is an enzymatically active ribonucleoprotein with two distinct roles in eukaryotes. In mitochondria it plays a direct role in the initiation of mitochondrial DNA replication. The record is from Rfam by way of RNAcentral. Lineage: Eukaryota; Fungi; Ascomycota; Leotiomycetes; Thelebolales; Thelebolaceae.
UCCUCGUUCAAAGGAUCGCAGUCGAAGCACACAAACGGAGCAGACCUCGUGUCUCUCAGCCCUUCAUGGGCUAAUCAAUGCUUUGGGAGAAAGUCCCCGGACGACCUUUUACCUCGUGUACAAAGGAACGCGGAAACGCGCCGCCAUAGAAGCACUGCGGCUUCUUAUUUCUCCUCUCCUUCCUACACUUAGGCCGACCUUCGUCGCUGCUUGUACUCGCUUUCUGCGCAUUUGAUUGCUGCGGCUGGAGGAUGGGGAGACCAUAUGGAUGAAGAUAUGAGUCCGAGCUCUCCUGAUCCAGCUGCGGUAGAGCAUAUGCAACGACUUCGGGGAGGCGGGGAAGUACUCUCGGUCUGGGUUAGGGCUCAUGGGAGAGGGGAGGCUUUCGUCGAGAGUGAUAGUUAUGCGAUUGCUCCCUUGGCCUGCCUCACGGUUGGUCCUGGGGGGUAACUCGAUGGGGCUUAUUCUUGAGACGAGG